AGUUCCACCAGUUGAACUUUGAAGUUGAAACAGGUGAAGCAUAUUCUAGAAAUGUCAUUUUCUAAUAUUUCAGACAUUAGAAGUUAAAACCCAUGAACAAUGUGAAUUACAGAUACAUAUGGACAGAAAUUAAAGUGAAUUUUACAUUAAAUAUUGAAUGAAUUAGAGUGUUAGAAGUAUAUUUACAAAGUUAAAAAACCUGUAAUAAUGUCAGAAUAAAUGAUUUUGACGAAACUUUGAGUUACGAAACAAGAUGUCGAGUAUAUCCAAUGAUAUAGAUUCUCAUAUCAGUAAAAAAUACGAGAUCAGAAGAAGAUUAGGAAAGGGAGCUUAUGGCGUCGUAUGGAAAGGCAUCGAUAGAAAAUAUGGAAGCACGGUAGCUGUCAAGAAAAUUUUUGACGCAUUUCGAAAUCGAACAGAUGCGCAGAGAACAUUUCGAGAAAUCGUUUUCCUGAAAGAGUUCGGCUCCCACCCGAACAUUAUUCGAUUGCUGAAUGUUCAUCGAGCUUCGAACGACAAGGACCUGUACCUUGUAUUUGAGUUUAUGGAAACUGAUUUGCAUCAUGUUAUCAAGAAGGGAAAUAUCCUCAAGGAAAUACACAGACAGUACAUUAUGUACCAGCUUUUUAAGGCAACAAAGUUCCUACACUCUGGCAAUGUGAUACAUAGAGACCAGAAACCCAGCAAUAUAUUGCUUGACUCUCAGUGCAAUUGUAAACUCGCAGAUUUUGGACUUGCUCGGUCCCUUUCAGUCAAAGAGAGUCCUGAGGUUGGUGGAGAAGGGGAUGCUUGUCUGACUGAUUAUGUUGCUACAAGAUGGUAUAGAGCUCCUGAGAUACUCCUCGCUAGUAAGAAGUAUACGGCAGGGGUGGAUAUGUGGAGUCUAGGCUGUAUUCUAGCAGAGAUGUGCUUAGGAAAGCCCUUGUUUCCUGGAAGCUCAACAAUAAAUCAAAUAGAAAAGAUAGUUACUAGCAUCACACUACCCUCAACAGAUGAUAUUAAGGAUAUUAGUUCUGAGUAUGCUGUGAGUAUCCUGGACCGGGCAGCUACGAUGAAAAGACGACCUCUUGUUGACCUGCUCAGCGAGUCUAGCAAAGACGCUGUUCAUCUGAUAGAAACCCUUCUUAAGUUUAAUCCUAACCAGAGGUUGACCGCACAUGCCUCCCUCAGACAUCCAUAUGUCGCCAGAUUUCAUAAUUCAGCUCAGGAGCCUGAGAUGAAGAGAGACGUGAUUCCCCCGUUGAACGAUUGUGUUCAACUAUCUGUAGAUCAGUACAGGGGGAAACUUUAUGAUAUUAUCAAACAAGAAAAGUUUUUCAGGAGGAAAGAUGAGGAGAAGAGGGAGGAGCGGCGUGCCUCCAGCCAUGAGUUGAGGGAGGGAAGGCGAGGCAGUGUUGAAACCGUGAGGAAGGUUCAAAGUGAGGUAAAUGUACGCGGAGAGAAGCUUCUACCUGGAAGACGACUAGCCACAGCUCAACCCAGACAACAAUCUCCAUUGGAUCGAGUUGAGAGCAAGACGAGCUUAAAGGAAACCCUGAAGCAAAGCAUGACAACUGGAUACUGCUACAGAACUACUAACUUUCUCAAAACUAAAUUGUAAACAAACAUAUUGUUUCUAGAACAAUCUAAUGAUGGACCAUAUAAUUUCCUUGCUCAAUCCCUUAUAUCCUUCAUACGUUUACUUCUGUCUACCAAUAUAUUUAUAUUUCACUUCAUUUUUUAAUUUAUCUAAAACAACUCCCAGCUAGCUAAAAACUGACCAAAGAACCAAAUGAGAAAUAUUUUCAAAAAAUCAAAUUUAAAAUCAAAGAAAACUGUUUAAUGUAUACAUGGAGUAAUAAUAAUCAAACGUGUUUAAAUACAGGGUGUUUCUACGCAUAUUUAGAUAUUGAUAUCAUCAUCAUCUUCAACUUGGCGUUUAUUAAAUGCAGUAAGGAUAUUAAGAUUGCUGUAAAAAAAGUUAUACUGAUAUUGAUCUUUAAAAACAUGUUGAGACAACUGAAAUACUGGUCUUUAUGAUAACUUUGACUAGUUCCCCAAAAACGUAGAAUAUUUAAAAUUAUCGAUAUCGUUUAUUUCUUGAAACAUUUAUAUGUUUUCUUUGUUGGUAAAAUGAUCUACGAAGGGUCCUUGCGAAGGACAUUUGAGUAGAUUUUGAUAUUUCUUUGUCUUUCUACGCGCGGUUACAAACAUUUCUGAUAUCUGAUAUGCGCUCAAUGGAUGAAAAAAAAUCUUUGUAUCGUCAAAAAUUGAAAAUGAUUUUUUGUAAGUAAACGUUAAAACAUAUCAUGUAAUUUUGACCAAGAAUGCAGAACAUGCUGAAAAUACAAAAAUAAGAACAAUUGUAGAUUUAAAUUUUCAAACCUUGAUCAGAGUUAGUUUUCAGAACAGAAACGUAAAAGUGAUUAACUUGAAGUUAAAUUGAAAUGAGAUUAAAUUCUUCUUAGCACAAAAAAUAGUAAAAUUUUGUGAUGUAAUAACUUAGACUCGAAAAAAGAUUAACUAAUUACAACAAGAUUGUAUGAUUGUAAAAUAUAUAAUUCGUCAUAGAAAUAAAAAAGUACUUGAUUUUUUU
RNAcentral lists this unclassified non-coding RNA (2575 nucleotides) under Eurytemora carolleeae. RNAcentral's name for it is "mitogen-activated protein kinase 15". Lineage: Eukaryota; Metazoa; Arthropoda; Copepoda; Calanoida; Temoridae. The record is from RNAcentral.